Molecule: ribosomal RNA, 434 nt
Filed under: uncultured Lachnospiraceae bacterium
Lineage: Bacteria; Bacillati; Bacillota; Clostridia; Lachnospirales; Lachnospiraceae
Description: partial 16S ribosomal RNA
Rfam family: Bacterial small subunit ribosomal RNA
Source: RNAcentral
ACGGGAGGCAGCAGUGGGGAAUAUUGCACAAUGGGGGGAACCCUGAUGCAGCGACGCCGCGUGAGUGAAGAAGUAUUUCGGUAUGUAAAGCUCUAUCAGCAGGGAAGAAAAUGACGGUACCUGACUAAGAAGCCCCGGCUAACUACGUGCCAGCAGCCGCGGUAGUACGUAGGGGGCAAGCGUUAUCCGGAUUUACUGUGUGUAAAGGGAGCGUAGACGGCGAUGCAAGUCUGAUGUGAAAGCCCGGGGCUCAACCCCGGCACUGCAUUGGAAACUGUGUUGCUAGAGUGCAGGAGAGGUAAGUGGAAUUCCUAGUGUAGCGGUGAAAUGCGUAGAUAUUAGGAGGAACACCAGAGGCGGAGGCGGCUUACUGGACUGUAACUGACGUUGAGGCUCGAAAGCGUGGGGAGCAAACAGGAUUAGAUACCCUGGUA